Small nuclear RNA from Molossus molossus (Pallas's mastiff bat), 110 nucleotides. Lineage: Eukaryota; Metazoa; Chordata; Mammalia; Chiroptera; Molossidae. The record is from RefSeq and is a predicted model, not a curated record.
AUGCUCACUUCAGCAGUAUGUACACUAAAAUUGGAACCAAAACUGAGAAGAUUAGCAUGACCCUUGCACAAGGAUGACAGGCAAAUUCACCUGAGGAUAUUUUUCCAUUU